This 494-nucleotide ribosomal RNA is filed under the name uncultured bacterium. Its description in RNAcentral is "partial 16S ribosomal RNA". It matches the Rfam family "Bacterial small subunit ribosomal RNA", at positions 28 to 507 of the family's 1533-position model. The record is from RNAcentral.
GACGAACGCUGGCGGCGUGCUUAACACAUGCAAGUCGAACGGUGAAGCGCCUUCCUUUUUGGUGGGUGUGGAUGAGUGGCGAACGGGUGAGUAACACGUGAGUAACCUGCCCCCUUCUUCUGGAUAACCGCAUGAAAGUGUGGCUAAUACGGGAUAUUCUGGGUCUGUCGCAUGAUGGGUCUGGGAAAGAUCUUGUUUCGGUGGGGGAUGGGCUCGCGGCCUAUCAGCUUGUUGGUGGGGUGAUGGCCUACCAAGGCGGGGACGGGUAGGCGACCUGGGAGGGUGGACGGUCACACUGGGACUGAGACACGGCCCAGACUCCUACGGGAGGCAGCAGUGGGGAAUAUUGCACAAUGGGCGCAAGCCUGAUGCAGCGACGCCGCGUGAGGGAUGGAGGCCUUCGGGUUGUGAACCUCUUUCGCCAGUGAAGCAGGCCUGCCUCGUUUGUGGGUGGGUUGACGGUAGCUGGAUAAGAAGCGCCGGCUAACUACGUG